CUCGGCCUAUCCACAUGACUUGGGUUCUUUAUGGUUUGACAGUUGAGUUCUGAGAGGGAAUAUCCUCAGAGUAAAUGUUCCAAGAGGUCUGCUUACUGGAUGUUGGGAUGUUGGAAGUCUUCCCACGACUGAGACUUGGAAGUCACACAUGUCUCUCCCACCACCUUCUGUUGGUUAAAGCAGUUCACAGGCUCAACCCAGAUUCAAGGUGAGGUGAGGUAGACUCCACAUCCCAAUGCGAGGGGGGUGGGGGGGCGUGUUGCAAAUUAAUUGCGGUCAUAGCUAAUUAACUACAGUUGGCCCAAAAUUAUUUAUAUUUCUCACACAUGGAAUGGACACUCAUCUCUCAAGGCCCUUACACGCUUCACCUAUUGCAGUAUCUAGACCAGACUUGAGAUCCAGAAGGUCAUGUUAAUUAAGUCCAGGUGGGAGGCACUGCCUUAAAUGGAGUCCUCAGGUACAGAUCCUUCAACCAGAUCAUUUGCCACUGUGAGCCACUUUAUAAGAAAUGGCCUGGGGUUUUUUUUGCAAGGAGGUUGAGGGCCUGAAAACAUCUUUUCAUUUUGAACUAUCUCUGGUCUUUUCAGUCUAAGUUGACAGUGUUACUACUGAUACCAAACUCUUAACAUGGUUAUAAGUUUCCCGGAGAUCUUUUUCAGAUUCACUCUCCUAAGAUAAAGCUACUGCCAUAAAUCCCUUUGAGACAGAGGGAAGUGUGGGUGCUGAAGACCUUUUGUUUACUAUAAAAGUCAAGGAGACACACACUUAGAACCCUCACAAGCCCUUUUAUUUGGCUCAGAGAGUUUAGGGGUGCACAAUUAAGAUACUUAGAAUUCUUUUUAACUAACUGCCUUGUCUAAGAGUCUCUCCUUAAAUUUUUCAGAGGCCUUAACAAAGGUGUUAGCUACACCUUGGAUCAGGAAUUUAUGCUAAGCCACCCUGAGAUCUUGUUUUUGCCCUUUAAAACUUUAACUUCUCACGUUGUGUUUGAGUUUAGACUCAUUGAUAACAGAGCCCAGGGGCAGGCAGCCUGUCAGGGGCGGAAGUUUGGAGCCGGGGCGUGGCCACGAGCGGCGGCAACUUCUGCCUCCUCGACCCCACCUACCCAGGUCCCGGGCUGCAGGUGGACCGGGUCUUCGAGAGUCCGUGCUCCGAGCGAAGCGCAAACUCGCGGGUCCCGCUGGACUGUGGGGAGUCCUGGGCUGAGGGCGAAGGGGCUGGAGGACACCAUGGAGGGGAUGCUCCUCAGGCUGAAAGGGUUUGGAAGCCUGACUGACAUGUUGAGGAGUGACGCUCAGCCGCUGUUGCAGGCCUAAGCGGACCUUCUUCAAGAUGGUUGGGAGCCACUUAUCCUUCCUGGAAGCGCAUGUGGUGCAGGCCCAAAGGGACCACGAGGCUUUCUGCUGCCCAUGUUGUACAGCACGAAGGACUACUUUUCCGUGGACGCUGGGCAGGCGACCGUUGGCAAGCUUUGUGGGCCUCCCAUCCCGGAGGAAAAAAGCCAUCUGGAGCAGCAAGGGUUCUUUCUUUUUUUAUUGCUGAUUUGUUUUCUGAAUUGCCUCCCUUGCUCUGCAUGAGAGCGCGGGGUUUGGAGAAGCCUUGCAACCCACAUGCGGAAGUGCCUCGGAGAAGGCAUUUUGUCCCAGUGUUUGGCCUUCCCGGUGUUGGAGAUGGUAAGGCAGGCAGGUGUGAGGUGCUGUGGCGGAUGGAUGGCGGGGACUAAGAUUUCUUUCUUUCCGAGAGGCUUUGCAAGGGACUCCUGGCGAACUCACUUGGUGCCGCCCGGGCGGCGUGGCUCCCAGGCUCUCUGUGUUGGUUCAUUUGCCUGCAGACCCCAGUGCCUCUGAGGCAUCUCAAUAAAGAUGUCAGGAGGUUAAAACAGAUCAAAACAAAAAAAAAACACAACUCCCUAGGAGAGGUGGCACAAGGAAAGGACAUCCUAACAGCCAGCAUUUCAUGAGGUUCAUCUGGAAGCUGAAGAAUAUUUUGUGACCUAUCCUCAGAUUUCUUGCAGACGUUGAACUCUUUCGGCCAGUUUCAAGGUGAGCCUCAUCCAAUCAGUUGAAUAUUUUUAUGGAAAAAAGUCUACUCUUCCCUGAGGGAGAAGGAAUUCUGCACAGACUGCCUUCUGAUUUAAGCUGCAAUAUCAUUUCUUCCUUGGGUCUGCAGUCUUCCAGUCUAUCCAGCAUAUUUUGGAUUUGUCAGCCUCCAUAAUCAUCAUCCCAGCUUGCAAGAACCUACCCUGAAGAUAAGCCUCUAUAAAUGCAAAACAACAUAUGUGCAAGAAUAUUCACCAUGCAUUAUUUGUAACACCUAAAAAUUGAAAAAACAAAUGCAUUUCACCUGAAUGGGAUAUGUUUAAUAAUGAAGUCUCAUGCAUUGUGAAAAAGUAAAUAAAGGGGCCCCUGGGUGGCUCAUUUGGCUGGGCAUCCAGCUCUUGAUUUUGGCUCCAGUCAUGAUCUCAUGGUUUGUGAGAUGGAGCCCCGCAU
Long non-coding RNA from Felis catus (domestic cat), 2489 nucleotides. RefSeq lists it as uncharacterized. NCBI's taxonomy places the organism in Eukaryota, Metazoa, Chordata, Mammalia, Carnivora, Felidae. The transcript is spliced from 3 exons. The record is from RefSeq and is a predicted model, not a curated record.